UUUUUUGAAGGAGGUAAUUGAGCCCUUGAGAAAAAUCUUUAAGUAACUUUUCCAAGACAAUAAUGAGUAAUAAUCAACAGAACUGGUAUUUGAACCCAGGUCUUCUGACUCCAGAUCUAUCAUUCUUUCUGUUGUACCAUGCUGCCCCUUGUUCAUUUAAUAGUCAAUAGAGGGGACAUAUUCAUUUUUUCUUAGCUUUUAUAGUUAAUAUUUCUGGGUUUUCUUUGGAACAUGUCACAGGUUCACCCAGAGAAUUUUGUCUUUAGUUUACUAUGGUGUACAAAUAUCUGAGUGGAGCUUGAAACAUUUUAAAAUUCAGGACCUGUUCCUUAAGAUCAUUUCUUUUCUAAGAGGAAAUUACUUGGAACAAAUAUGACAUUGAUUUUCCAUCUCACUUUAUUAUUUUCAAUCUACUUAAGACUUGACAACCUCCAUAUAGUUAGAGAGCUUUCUGAUUAGAUUUUGUGGCUUUAAAACAGAGUAUAGAUGAGAGUGAUGUUGGCUGAAACUGCCAAAGAGAUAUAAGAGUAAGGAUUUCUCUCUCUCUCUCUCUCUCUCUCUCUCUCUCUCUCUCUCUCUCUCUCUCUCUCUCUGUCUCCUUCUCUCUCUCUGUCUCUCCAGCUUGCUUAUGAUGCCUGGGCAAAUAAUUCUGCAUCAGCAGUCAGGCUGUGGAAGCAAGAUGAAAUGACAUUCAGGAGAGAAGAAAAGAAGGAGGAAUGGGAGCCACAGUGUCAAAGAGGAUCAAAAGACAGAAGUCUGGAGAAAUGUGAAGAUGUUGAUGCUGAUGCUUCCGAGAAAGAAGAUGGAAGCUUGCAUGAACCAGAAAUUCUAACGCAGAGAAUAAUCGAUAUGGUCAGAUUUUCAUGGAUCUUUGGGAAGGUGCUGCUGGAAGACACCAUAGCAGCAGUGCACUCCCUGUAUAAAGAAAAUUGGGAAAUAACCACCAUGUUGAGGGUGGAGUGGUG
This 965-nucleotide long non-coding RNA is filed under the name Phascolarctos cinereus (koala). RNAcentral describes it as "lncRNA (ENSPCIG00000004644.2)". The record is from RNAcentral. Lineage: Eukaryota; Metazoa; Chordata; Mammalia; Diprotodontia; Phascolarctidae.